This 587-nucleotide ribosomal RNA is filed under the name uncultured bacterium. RNAcentral describes it as "bacterial SSU rRNA". It matches the Rfam family "Bacterial small subunit ribosomal RNA", at positions 103 to 707 of the family's 1533-position model. The record is from RNAcentral.
CGGGUGAGUAACACGUGAGGAACCUGCCCCGAAGACUGGGAUAACACCGGGAAACCGGUGCUAAUACCGGAUGCCCUCAAACUGCCGCAUGACGGUUUGAGGAAAUGGAUUCCGCUUCGGGAGGGCCUCGCGGCCUAUCAGCUUGUUGGUGGGGUAACGGCCCACCAAGGCUACGACGGGUAGCUGGUCUGAGAGGACGACCAGCCACACUGGGACUGAGACACGGCCCAGACUCCUACGGGAGGCAGCAGUGGGGAAUAUUGCGCAAUGGGCGAAAGCCUGACGCAGCAACGCCGCGUGGGGGAUGACGGCCUUCGGGUUGUAAACCCCUUUCAGCAGGGACGAAACUGACGGUACCUGCAGAAGAAGCCCCGGCCAACUACGUGCCAGCAGCCGCGGUAAUACGUAGGGGGCGAGCGUUGUCCGGAUUCAUUGGGCGUAAAGAGCUCGUAGGCGGUUUAGCAAGUCGGGUGUGAAAUCUCCAGGCUCAACCUGGAGCGGCCAUUCGAUACUGCUAUGACUUGAGUCCAGUAGGGGAGUGUGGAAUUCCCGGUGUAGCGGUGAAAUGCGCAGAUAUCGGGAGGAAC